CAGGCUCCAGAGUGCUUUCUUGAUAUUUCGAAAAAACUGUGGAGGCCCUAGAAAACCAGGCAAUCAACUGUGUUAUUUUAUAAUGAAUCUUCUGAUAAGCAUCUUUCUUACAACAUGCACAGUUAUUGCUAUGACUGAAGCUUGUGCAGACUCGCAAAAUCAAGAGCCAAGAUUUUGCUGGGGUAAACAGCUCUUAAGCCAGAAGUAUUGCAAGAAUGUCAAAGACCUACAUCGCUGGACGUGUAUUGGUGGAAGUUCAUUAGGAUGCGCAUGUAAAACAAAAUUCAGAGCUGAUGAUGGAUCAUGUGUGGAAGAACGUG
Molecule: long non-coding RNA, 320 nt
Organism: Rhipicephalus microplus (southern cattle tick)
Lineage: Eukaryota; Metazoa; Arthropoda; Arachnida; Ixodida; Ixodidae
Source: RefSeq, a predicted model, not a curated record